RNAcentral lists this long non-coding RNA (903 nucleotides) under Rattus norvegicus (Norway rat). RNAcentral describes it as "long non-coding RNA NONRATT025199". Lineage: Eukaryota; Metazoa; Chordata; Mammalia; Rodentia; Muridae. The record is from RNAcentral.
UCUGGUUUUAUCACAUAAUAGGAAAAUAUAAUAUUAUAAGAUAUCAGAAAUGACUUAAUUUUCAUCUGGUGAAACAGAACUGCUCUGAAGUUGAUUCAAUAAAAUUAGCCUGUGUACGCUCUACCUGGUACAUGAAUCGAGUCAUUUUAAAUGAGUGUGAGCUUCAUAAUGCGGUAGUUGGGCCAGUCUUUCUUUUCAAGUACUAUAAGUGACACUGAAAUGCUAAGUGACUGUCUUGAAGAGCAUUUUUGGACAUCAUGGUUUCAGUUAUUUGAGGAUAGCAGUUGUACUUUGAAAGUGCCUCGCUAGCUUAUAAAUUCUCAGAAUGAUGUUGAUCCUAGCCCAGUGACUGUUCUUACCACAAGUGUUGUCCAUCUGCUGUUGAGAGUGCAGUUGUGAGUCUUCAACUGUACUGACCUCAAAGCGCCUUCACGAUCCUACACUGAGGACUGAAAUCUGAAGUCCGCAGGGAAGUUUGGUGAAUUUGGUCACUUACUUUCUUCAAGGAUAAUAAAGUUGUGUUUUCCAUAAGGAUAUAUUUAUAACUAGUGAGCGGAAACUGAAUCCAGUCCCAGUUUUAAUGCUUUUCCAAUUCAAACGUGUUAUGCAUGUAUGUGUCUCUUUCUAACCCUUCGAGCUUCUCUCUGUGUACGAUUUAGGGUUACAUUCCGAAAAGCAAAUGGGAGAUGGACACUUCUGAGGCAAAGCUAGACAAGUUGGAUGGCUUGAGGACUGGUACUAAAAGGAAACGAGACUGGGAGGCAAUCGCCAGCAGAAUGGAGGACUACCUUCAGCUCCCUGAUGACUACGAAACUCGCGCUUCUGAACCUGGGAAGAAGAGGGUGAGAUGGGCAGACCUGGAAGAAAAGAAGGACGCAGACAGGAAAAGGGCCAUAGGUUUUG